GACAGAGGGUGCAAACGUUGUUCGGAAUUACUGGGCGUAAAGCGCGUGUAGGCUGCCCUGCAAGUCGGAUGUGAAAGCCCUGGGCUCAACCUAGGAAGUGCACUCGAAACUGCAGGGUUGGAGUCCUGGAGAGGAAGGCGGAAUUCUCGGUGUAGAGGUGAAAUUCGUAGAUAUCGAGAGGAACACCGGUGGCGAAGGCGGCCUUCUGGACAGUGACUGACGCUGAGACGCGAAAGCGUGGGGAGCAAACAGG
This 253-nucleotide ribosomal RNA is filed under the name uncultured bacterium. RNAcentral's name for it is "partial 16S ribosomal RNA". It matches the Rfam family "Bacterial small subunit ribosomal RNA", at positions 524 to 776 of the family's 1533-position model. The record is from RNAcentral.